AUAUUGCACAAUGGGGGAAACCCUGAUGCAGCGACGCCGCGUGAGUGAAGAAGUAUUUCGGUAUGUAAAGCUCUAUCAGCAGGGAAGAAAAUGACGGUACCUGAUUAAGAAGCCCCGGCUAACUACGUGCCAGCAGCCGCGGUAAUACGUAGGGGGCAAGCGUUAUCCGGAUUUACUGGGGGUAAAGGGAGCGUAGACGGUGAUGCAAGUCAGAAGUGAAAGCCCGGGGCCCAACCCCGGGACUGCUCUUGGAACUGCGCGGCUGGAGUGCAGGAGGGGCAGGCGGAAUUCCUGGUGUAGCGGUAAAAUGCGUAGAUAUCAGGAGGAACACCGGUGGCGAAGGCGGCCUGCUGGACUGCGACUGACGUUGAGGCCCGAAAGCGUGGGGAGCAAACAGG
This 398-nucleotide ribosomal RNA is filed under the name uncultured bacterium. RNAcentral describes it as "bacterial SSU rRNA". It matches the Rfam family "Bacterial small subunit ribosomal RNA", at positions 361 to 776 of the family's 1533-position model. The record is from RNAcentral.